RNAcentral lists this ribosomal RNA (305 nucleotides) under uncultured bacterium. RNAcentral's name for it is "bacterial SSU rRNA". It matches the Rfam family "Bacterial small subunit ribosomal RNA", at positions 337 to 639 of the family's 1533-position model. The record is from RNAcentral.
UCCUACGGGGGGCAGCAGUGAGGAAUAUUGGUCAAUGGGCGGGAGCCUGAACCAGCCAAGUCGCGUGAGGGAAGACGGUCCUAUGGAUUGUAAACCUCUUUUGUCGGGGAGCAAAGAGAUCACGUGUGGUCAAAAGCGAGAGUACCCGAAGAAAAAGCAUCGGCUAACUCCGUGCCGGCAGCCGCGGUAACACGAAGGAUGCGAGCGUUAUCCGGAUUUAUUGGGUUUAAAGGGUGCGUAGGCGGGCUUUUAAGUCAGCGGUAAAAAUUCGGGGCUCAACCCCGUCCGGCCGUUGAAACUGGGGG